AUAUCACUAAGGGGAGGAAAAGAAAUUAACUAAGAUUGCCUCAGUAACGGCGAGUGAAGCGGCAAAAGCCCAAACUGGAAAUCUUCGUACUUCGUACGACGAAUUGUAAUCUAGAGGCUGGAAACUCACCUUACGGAGACGCAGAAGUUGCUUAGAAUAGCACGCCAUAGAGGGUGACAGCCCCGUAUGUGGUGUCUCUGUAUAACGAGUUCUAGUUGAAGAGUCGGGUUGUUUUGAAUUGCAGCCCUAAGCGGGAGAUAGACUUCUUCUAAGGCUAAAUAUAUAUGGGAGACCGAUAGCGCACAAGUA
RNAcentral lists this ribosomal RNA (309 nucleotides) under uncultured eukaryote. RNAcentral's name for it is "partial large subunit ribosomal RNA". It matches the Rfam family "Eukaryotic large subunit ribosomal RNA", at positions 40 to 350 of the family's 3401-position model. The record is from RNAcentral.